RNAcentral lists this long non-coding RNA (3022 nucleotides) under Oryzias sinensis (Chinese medaka). RNAcentral describes it as "lncRNA (ENSOSIG00000018878.1)". Lineage: Eukaryota; Metazoa; Chordata; Actinopteri; Beloniformes; Adrianichthyidae. The record is from RNAcentral.
GUUUGGAUACUUUUUGCUCACACUUGAGUACAUUCUUUUAAAGGUUACCGUUUCAGCACAAUUUAAGAUGGCCUAUCCAUCUGACAGGUAAAGAAGUUUUUAAAAAGAUGCAAAUUAAAGCAAAAACAUGCUGCUUUUAAUAGAAUUUGAAAAAUAUUUUUUGUUUUCUUUUGGGAUAAACAAGAGUCUGGAAUAUUGAGGUGUUUAUUUUAUAACACCAUACUAAAAUAUUAACUUUAAAAAAAAUAAGGAAAGGCUACCACUCCUCAUGAUGUUACGUCACAGGUGACACACCUAAGCAGUCAGUCACAGGUGGACUUUAUUACCGGUACUAUCAAAACACAGGUGUGGGCGUGGUUUGGGUUCAGUCACUGUAUUUCCGCGGGUGCCGCGAGGAGCGAAACGCCAAGAACAGAAUCGACAUCAGAUUAAACAAAGAAAAAGCAAACAUGCGGUUCAUUUUACCAGCUUCGUUAUUUCUAGUUGCUGGUUUAAUUCCUGCUGUCACGGGCUCGGUUUCUGGCCUUCCAGAGGACUUGGAAGGAUCAGGAAUUGAUUUGGAGAGUUCUGGGUCAGGAGAUUGGUCAGAUCAUGUUUCUCCCGUUGAAGGUAAAAACAUAGAUGAGGAGCCAGAAGGAGAUCAUUUAGGAGUGGUACACAAUCCAAUGGAUUCUGGGAGGAUGAAGCUACCAGCUGACACUCUGAUGGCUUCUUCUACUAGAAUUUCCACGUCCGGAUUUGUGUUUUUGGAAAAUGGCAGGCCUUUUUGGGAAAAGGAAGAAGUUCUGGCUGGCAUGAUUGCAGGGGUUCUAACGGGAGCGGCAAUCGGAGCUACGAUAACAGCAAUAUUGAUCUACAAGUGGAAGAAAAGGGAGGAUGAAGGGGGGCUUCUGGGCAAAAGAGAAAUCACAUAAAUUAUACUAAUAUAAUAAUUUUUGCCAUCAAAAUGUUAAAGCUGCUUAACUUUUUGUUUUUGUUUUGGGGAGCUGCUGUAAAUUUUCCCCUUUCUCUCUAGAGCCACAAUGUAACUAAUUUCUCAAAUAAUAUUGAUAGUUUUCCUUACAUUAUUAACCAAAAGUUUUUCUUUUACACAUGGCAACGGUGAGCCAAUGUGUAUAUGGUUUUAAUUUGAUUUAAAAAAAAAAUCUAUUUUAAAUGAGACUUUGUUCAUAAAUCUGUGGGGUGAUUAGGCUAUAUAUAUAUAUAUAUAUAUAUAUAUACAUUGUAUUUUCCAUUUAUUUAUUUGAUGGCCUCUUUUUUCCGAGCAUUUUAUAUUAAAAAAUAAUUACAGGUGAUUAAAAACCCUUUAAAUCCUUUUAAUCCUACUUUCUAUAGCCACAAGCAUGAUUUUUUUCCCCCACCUACAGUUAAACUUAAAUCUUUUUCUAUUUCGACUAACACUGACCUAUGCAUAUUUGGGUCUGAUUCAUGUAAAUGUUUAGUUGUUUUGACGUAAAAAGAAAUGGCAAAAGUCUAAGGCUACAACUUUUCCUUCCAUAAAAUACAAUAAAUGUACUUGUCUUGUUCUAAAUAUGCCAACAGACCACAUUAAGCUUCCAUUAAACCACAAACAUCUAAUAUAUUUGCAUAUUCUCUGUAAAUAAAGUACUUCAUGAAGACCACUUUUUGCAUGUGAUGCUUUUGGCAUUAGUGGGUCACAGGUCAGUUUUGAUUCAUACAUUUCCAAGAAAAACAGACCAACAGAAAUCAGAAAUUUCUGCCAUUAAAAAUAAAUGUUAAAAGGAUUAAUUUUUGCUAGAGUCAAGGAUAUAUGUGGUUUGUUCAAGGUUUUCUUCAUCAGAGAUCCCUCUACAUGUCACCAUGUUGUUUAUCCAGAGAAGGGCAGUAGUUUUUAAGCUCCUAUUCCUAUUGGCAUAAAGGCAAAAGUAGGGUGAUAAGUUGUCUGCUCACUGCAGGGCUGUUAUUUAAUUUUUUUUUUUUUUUGUUGUUUGAAGAAUCCAGAAGUCAUUUUGAGGACUUUUGCAGCACCGCCCCAUCCAUUCCAGUGAUCUCAUCAGUCAUGGGUGAACCCGUGUGUUUAGUAUAGCUACUCCAGUCAUCUUUCUCAGAAACGCUCAGUUUCCUUUUCCAUUUUUACCAAAAAUAGGAUCCUUAACUUGGCUGAGUGAACAUCUGUUUUUCUGUUUUCGAUGCUGUGAAUGGAAGAUGUGCUAUCUGCAAGCCAGAUAAUUUUUACUGAACUGUCUGUAUACAUGCCCAGCUUUACUCUGUGUGUAAAAACACCGCAAAUGGAGAAUUUCCAAAAGGUUUCAUCACCAGGAGCUGUCUGUUUAAGGUGACAGUGCACAUACAAUUUCAGUUUUACCUUACUUUCAAAUAUUAUUAAAAAAAUGAAGCAACCCAAAGGUUAUAGAUUAAAAAUAUUUUUUUAAAUUAAUAAUAUACUUUAUUUUCUUUGUUACUGAAAAAGACAGGGAGCCUUAAUGCAUUUAAAAAUUGUAUUUAAAUGCUUUUUUUGUUGUUGCUGAAAAUCGGUAUGUGCAGACACAAGAGCAGGUCUAUAUUUAUCCAGUAACAGAUUAUAUUCAUCAGUUUUUCACUGAUGUUUGUAAAAAGUGCUCCUUCUGUCAGGCAGAUUGGGAAAGCAAAGAACACCUAGCUUUAAUGGCUCACCUAUUUUAUGUUGGGUUGAUUAUUUUGUCAAAAGACUGUUAAAUUGUUUUUUCUCAUAUAUAUAUAUAUAUAUAUAUAUAUAUAUAUAUAUAUAUAUAUAUAUANNNNNNNNNNCACACACACACACACACACUCAGUUUAUGAGUAUGAUUAUUAUUAUCCUUAUACAUGCAUGCAUUUUUCAUUUUAUAUUCAAACAUUUUUUUUAAUAAAUAAAAUAAAAUGAAUUUCUUUCCUGCCAUUGGCUAAAACUCAUGUCACUCACACGUAGCCCCGCCUUCUCCUGCCGUUUGUUGUCAUUCGCCGUGUGCGCAGGUCUUCUGGGCAGCGGGUGGGCGUUUCUCGUCGUUCGCUCCCUAACUGUUGACGCUGAGGACAUUUUGCCCCC